Limulus polyphemus (Atlantic horseshoe crab) is the source of this 977-nucleotide long non-coding RNA. RefSeq lists it as uncharacterized. The transcript has 3 exons. Lineage: Eukaryota; Metazoa; Arthropoda; Merostomata; Xiphosura; Limulidae. The record is from RefSeq and is a predicted model, not a curated record.
AAAACUCGAAAUCAAGGCCUGAACAGAGCAGAACACGCACAAGAUGUACAAACUUAAUGUUUCUGUUGUUUUAUUUAGGGCCUGAACAGAGCAGAACACGCACAAGAUGUACAAACUUAAUGUUUCUGUUGUUUUAUUUAGGGCCUGAACAGUGCAGAACACGCACAAGAUGUACAAACUUAAUGUUUCUGUUGUUUUAUUUAGGGCCUGAACAGAGCAGAACACGCACAAGACUAAUAGUAAGGAAGUUGUUUUUGGUUUUGGACCGUCUGAAAAUAGUAGGCAUCAUGCUGAAAGAACGUUGUUGUGAACGUUUUGUCAUGUUUCAAACGAAAGUGUACUUUUAACAUGCUUUGUUAACCUGUUAAAAUCAUUACGCCAUCAUCGAGGCCUAAUAAAUAGUGGGCUCGUCAGAGCAUAAAUAAUUUAACCAGCACGUGAAAUCCAAGAGAAAAUACAGUGUUCUUGACGAAAUUGUUUUGGUAAAAAUUGGUCAACACAUCCUGAGAUGGAGGAAGGUGACACGCGUAACGGAAGAUUCAAGAUCCAUGAAUGAAACGUGAUUAUUAUGAUGUAACAUCACAGUAAUUUUUACUGGUAAACUUUUACGGAAAUUCAGGGAGAAAAAGAACGAGUUAGCAACUUGAGAAGGAACCAACUCAUUCAAGUGCGUCUUCAUGCAUACUUUAGCACUGAUUCCUUUAAGAUGGAGAGCAUGAUAACGGUCCUAGCUGUAAGAAGAAAGUUCAGGGACAAUGAGCAUCAGAGACACAACCAUAUGGCCAGCUGUAAACGCUUCGCAAGACCUAGGCCUAAUCCCCCUUCCUCCCCUCAAUAGAAAUAAAGAAUCGUAUUUCUCAUACGUGUUUGUUUUAUCCUUAUUAACAACUGGUUUGAAUUGAACACUCAUUUCAAUUUUGUGUUAGAAAUUUCAGUGAAGUAAAAGAAGUCAGAAAAAUAAACAAUUUAUCUUGUGA